AGCUUCUUUAAGAAGCUUUCUUGAUGGAGGGGAGUGGCAGACGGGUGAGUAACGCGUGGGAAUCUACCGUACCCUACGGAAUAGCUCUGGGAAACUGGAAGUAAUACCGUAUACSCCCGCAAGGGGAAAGAUUUAUCGGGGUAUGAUGAGCCCGCGUUGGAUUAGCUAGUUGGUGGGGUAAAGGCCUACCAAGGCGACGAUCCAUAGCUGGUCUGAGAGGAUGAUCAGCCACAUUGGGACUGAGACACGGCCCAAACUCCUACGGGAGGCAGCAGUGGGGAAUAUUGGACAAUGGGCGCAAGCCUGAUCCAGCCAUGCCGCGUGAGUGAUGAAGGUCUUAGGAUUGUAAAGCUCUUUCACCGGAGAAGAUAAUGACGGUAUCCGGAGAAGAAGCCCCGGCUAACUUCGUGCCAGCAGCCGCGGUAAUACGAAGGGGGCUAGCGUUGUUCGGAAUUACUGGGCGUAAAGCGCACGUAGGCGGGUAUUUAAGUCAGGGGUGAAAUCCCAGAGCUCAACUCUGGAACUGCCUUUGAUACUGGGUAUCUUGAGUAUGGAAGAGGUAAGUGGAAUUGCGAGUGUAGAGGUGAAAUUCGUAGAUAUUCGCAGGAACACCAGUGGCGAAGGCGGCUUACUGGUCCAUUACUGACGCUGAGGUGCGAAAGCGUGGGGAGCAAACAGGAUUACAUACCCUGGUAGUCCACGCCGUACACGAUGAAUGUUAGCCGUCGGCAAGUUGACUUGUCGGUGGCGCACCUAACGCAUUAAACAUUCCGCCU
Molecule: ribosomal RNA, 776 nt
Filed under: Rhizobium sp.
Lineage: Bacteria; Pseudomonadati; Pseudomonadota; Alphaproteobacteria; Hyphomicrobiales; Rhizobiaceae
Description: bacterial SSU rRNA
Rfam family: Bacterial small subunit ribosomal RNA
Source: RNAcentral